UUGGAGGGCAAGUCUGGUGCCAGCAGCCGCGGUAAUUCCAGCUCCAAUAGCGUAUAUUAAAGUUGUUGCAGUUAAAAAGCUCGUAGUUGAAUUUCGGGAUCAGUACGCCGGUCGUGCCUUCGGUAUGCACUGGUGUCACUGGUUUCUCCCUUCUGAAGAACCAUCAUGCCAUUAAGUUGGUGUGGCGGGGAAUCAGGACUGUUACUUUGAAAAAAUUAGAGUGUUUAAAGCAGGCUAACGCUUGAAUACAUUAGCAUGGAAUAAUGAAAUAGGACGUUCGAACCUAUUUUGUUGGUUUCUAGGAUCGACGUAAUGAUUAAUAGGGAUAGUUGGGGGCAUUAGUAUUCAAUUGUCAGAGGUGAAAUUCUUGGAUUUAUUGAAGACUGACUACUGCGAAAGCAUUUGCCAAGGAUGUUUUCAUUAAUCAAGAACGAAAGUUAGGGGAUCGAAGACGAUCAGAUACCGUCGUAGUCUUAACCAUAAACUAUGCCGACUAGGGAUCGGAUGAUGUUAAUUUUAUAAUGACUCAUUCGGCACCUUACGGGAAAC
This 549-nucleotide ribosomal RNA is filed under the name uncultured Glomus. RNAcentral describes it as "SSU rRNA". It matches the Rfam family "Eukaryotic small subunit ribosomal RNA", at positions 548 to 1098 of the family's 1831-position model. The record is from RNAcentral. Lineage: Eukaryota; Fungi; Glomeromycota; Glomeromycetes; Glomerales; Glomeraceae.